Molecule: transfer RNA, 62 nt
Filed under: Cyrtodactylus oldhami
Lineage: Eukaryota; Metazoa; Chordata; Lepidosauria; Squamata; Gekkonidae
Description: partial tRNA-Asx
Source: RNAcentral
CGCUGGCUUGGGUAUUUAGUUGUUAAUUAAAAUUUUACGGGAUCGAGGCCCGUCAGACUAGG